This 1426-nucleotide ribosomal RNA is filed under the name uncultured organism. RNAcentral describes it as "16S ribosomal RNA". It matches the Rfam family "Bacterial small subunit ribosomal RNA". The record is from RNAcentral.
CAGGCUUAACACAUGCAAGUCGAGGGGCAUCGGCAUGAAAGCUUGCUUUCUUUGCCGGCGACCGGCGCACGGGUGAGUAACACGUAUCCAACCUGCCCUUUACUCGGGGAUAGCCUUUCGAAAGAAAGAUUAAUACCCGAUAGCAUAAUGAUUCCGCAUGGUUUCAUUAUUAAAGGAUUCCGGUAAAGGAUGGGGAUGCGUUCCAUUAGGUUGUUGGUGAGGUAACGGCCCACCAAGCCUUCGAUGGAUAGGGGUUCUGAGAGGAAGGUCCCCCACAUUGGAACUGAGACACGGUCCAAACUCCUACGGGAGGCAGCAGUGAGGAAUAUUGGUCAAUGGGCGCUAGCCUGAACCAGCCAAGUAGCGUGAAGGAUGAAGGCUCCAUGGGUCGUAAACUUCUUUUAUAUAAGAAUAAAGUGCAGUAUGUAUACUGUUUUGUAUGUAUUAUAUGAAUAAGGAUCGGCUAACUCCGUGCCAGCAGCCGCGGUAAUACGGAGGAUCCGAGCGUUAUCCGGAUUUAUUGGGUUUAAAGGGAGCGUAGGUGGACUGGUAAGUCAGUUGUGAAAGUUUGCGGCUCAACCGUAAAAUUGCAGUUGAUACUGUCAGUCUUGAGUACAGUAGAGGUGGGCGGAAUUCGUGGUGUAGCGGUGAAAUGCUUAGAUAUCACGAAGAACUCCGAUUGCGAAGGCAGCUCACUGGACUGCAACUGACACUGAUGCUCGAAAGUGUGGGUAUCAAACAGGAUUAGAUACCCUGGUAGUCCACACAGUAAACGAUGAAUACUCGCUGUUUGCGAUAUACAGUAAGCGGCCAAGCGAAAGCAUUAAGUAUUCCACCUGGGGAGUACGCCGGCAACGGUGAAACUCAAAGGAAUUGACGGGGGCCCGCACAAGCGGAGGAACAUGUGGUUUAAUUCGAUGAUACGCGAGGAACCUUACCCGGGCUUAAAUUGCAGUGGAAUGAUGUGGAAACAUGUCAGUGAGCAAUCACCGCUGUGAAGGUGCUGCAUGGUUGUCGUCAGCUCGUGCCGUGAGGUGUCGGCUUAAGUGCCAUAACGAGCGCAACCCUUAUCUUCAGUUACUAACAGGUCAUGCUGAGGACUCUGGAGAGACUGCCGUCGUAAGAUGUGAGGAAGGUGGGGAUGACGUCAAAUCAGCACGGCCCUUACGUCCGGGGCUACACACGUGUUACAAUGGGGGGUACAGAAGGCAGCUAGCGGGUGACCGUAUGCUAAUCCCAAAAUCCUCUCUCAGUUCGGAUCGAAGUCUGCAACCCGACUUCGUGAAGCUGGAUUCGCUAGUAAUCGCGCAUCAGCCACGGCGCGGUGAAUACGUUCCCGGGCCUUGUACACACCGCCCGUCAAGCCAUGGGAGCCGGGGGUACCUGAAGUACGUAACCGCAAGGAUCGUCCUAGGGUAAAACUGGU